RNAcentral lists this ribosomal RNA (786 nucleotides) under Escherichia coli. Its description in RNAcentral is "partial 23S ribosomal RNA". It matches the Rfam family "Bacterial large subunit ribosomal RNA", at positions 403 to 1191 of the family's 2925-position model. The record is from RNAcentral. Lineage: Bacteria; Pseudomonadati; Pseudomonadota; Gammaproteobacteria; Enterobacterales; Enterobacteriaceae.
GCUCGAUGAGUAGGGCGGGACACGUGGUAUCCUGUCUGAAUAUGGGGGGACCAUCCUCCAAGGCUAAAUACUCCUGACUGACCGAUAGUGAACCAGUACCGUGAGGGAAAGGCGAAAAGAACCCCGGCGAGGGGAGUGAAAAAGAACCUGAAACCGUGUACGUACAAGCAGUGGGAGCCUCUUUAUGGGGUGACUGCGUACCUUUUGUAUAAUGGGUCAGCGACUUAUAUUCUGUAGCAAGGUUAACCGAAUAGGGGAGCCGAAGGGAAACCGAGUCUUAACUGGGCGUUAAGUUGCAGGGUAUAGACCCGAAACCCGGUGAUCUAGCCAUGGGCAGGUUGAAGGUUGGGUAACACUAACUGGAGGACCGAACCGACUAAUGUUGAAAAAUUAGCGGAUGACUUGUGGCUGGGGGUGAAAGGCCAAUCAAACCGGGAGAUAGCUGGUUCUCCCCGAAAGCUAUUUAGGUAGCGCCUCGUGAAUUCAUCUCCGGGGGUAGAGCACUGUUUCGGCAAGGGGGUCAUCCCGACUUACCAACCCGAUGCAAACUGCGAAUACCGGAGAAUGUUAUCACGGGAGACACACGGCGGGUGCUAACGUCCGUCGUGAAGAGGGAAACAACCCAGACCGCCAGCUAAGGUCCCAAAGUCAUGGUUAAGUGGGAAACGAUGUGGGAAGGCCCAGACAGCCAGGAUGUUGGCUUAGAAGCAGCCAUCAUUUAAAGAAAGCGUAAUAGCUCACUGGUCGAGUCGGCCUGCGCGGAAGAUGUAACGGGGCUAAACCAUG